This 497-nucleotide ribosomal RNA is filed under the name uncultured bacterium. Its description in RNAcentral is "partial 16S ribosomal RNA". It matches the Rfam family "Bacterial small subunit ribosomal RNA", at positions 28 to 507 of the family's 1533-position model. The record is from RNAcentral.
GAUGAACGCUGGCGGCGUGCCUAAUACAUGCAAGUCGAGCGAACGGACGAGAAGCUUGCUUCUCUGGUGUUAGCGGCGGACGGGUGAGUAACACGUGGAUAACCUACCUAUAAGACUGGGAUAACUUCGGGAAACCGGAGCUAAUACCGGAUAAUAUUUUGAACCGCAUGGUUCAAAAGUGAAAGACGGUCUUGCUGUCACUUAUAGAUGGAUCCGCGCUGCAUUAGCUAGUUGGUAAGGUAACGGCUUACCAAGGCAACGAUGCAUAGCCGACCUGAGAGGGUGAUCGGCCACACUGGAACUGAGACACGGUCCAGACUCCUACGGGAGGCAGCAGUAGGGAAUCUUCCGCAAAGGGCGAAAGCCUGACGGAGCAACGCCGCGUGAGUGAUGAAGGUCUUCGGAUCGUAAAACUCUGUUAUUAGGGAAGAACAUGUGUGUAAGUAACUGUGCACAUCUUGACGGUACCUAAUCAGAAAGCCACGGCUAACUACGUG